RNAcentral lists this ribosomal RNA (16 nucleotides) under Caulerpa cupressoides. Its description in RNAcentral is "partial 26S ribosomal RNA". The record is from RNAcentral. Lineage: Eukaryota; Viridiplantae; Chlorophyta; Ulvophyceae; Bryopsidales; Caulerpaceae.
GACGAUGUUGUCGGCG